RNAcentral lists this transfer RNA (124 nucleotides) under Lentinula raphanica. Its description in RNAcentral is "tRNA-Ser". It matches the Rfam family "tRNA". From Rfam's summary of the family: Transfer RNA (tRNA) molecules are approximately 80 nucleotides in length. Their secondary structure includes four short double-helical elements and three loops (D, anti-codon, and T loops). The record is from RNAcentral. Lineage: Eukaryota; Fungi; Basidiomycota; Agaricomycetes; Agaricales; Omphalotaceae.
GUCACUUUGCCGGAGUGGUUAACGGGAUCGCCUGCUAACGGAGCUAUCCGGGCCACCUGUCCGGUGUUCCGUGUCAGUUAGCGGUUGGGCUUUGCCCGCGUGUGUUCGAAUCGCACAGGUGACG